UACGGAGGGGGCUAGCGUUUAUCGGAAUUACUGGGCGUAAAGCGCGCGUAGGCGGGCUGUUAAGUCGGGGGUGAAAUCCCGGGGCUCAACCCCGGAACUGCCUUCGAUACUGGCAGCCUAGAGGAAGGCAGAGGCUAGUGGAAUGGCGGGUGUAGAGGUGAAAAUCGUAGAUAUUCGCCGGAACACCAGUGGCGAAGGCGACUGGCUGGGGCUUUUCUGACGCUCAGGUGCGAAAGCGUGGGGAGCAAACAGG
RNAcentral lists this ribosomal RNA (253 nucleotides) under uncultured bacterium. RNAcentral describes it as "partial 16S ribosomal RNA". It matches the Rfam family "Bacterial small subunit ribosomal RNA", at positions 524 to 776 of the family's 1533-position model. The record is from RNAcentral.